RNAcentral lists this ribosomal RNA (845 nucleotides) under uncultured bacterium. Its description in RNAcentral is "bacterial SSU rRNA". It matches the Rfam family "Bacterial small subunit ribosomal RNA", at positions 8 to 846 of the family's 1533-position model. The record is from RNAcentral.
AGAGUUUGAUCCUGGCUCAGGAUGAACGCUAGCUACAGGCUUAACACAUGCAAGUCGAGGGGCAGCAUUAUCGGAGCUUGCUUUGAUAGAUGGCGACCGGCGCACGGGUGAGUAACGCGUAUCCAACCUUCCCCUUAGUAGAGGAUAGCCCGGCGAAAGUCGGAUUAAUACUCUAUGUUGUAUUUUGAGGACAUCUGACGAGUACCAAAGAUUUAUCGCUAAGGGAUGGGGAUGCGUCUGAUUAGCUUGUCGGCGGGGUAACGGCCCACCGAGGCGACGAUCAGUAGGGGUUCUGAGAGGAAGGUCCCCCACACUGGAACUGAGACACGGUCCAGACUCCUACGGGAGGCAGCAGUGAGGAAUAUUGGUCAAUGGGCGAGAGCCUGAACCAGCCAAGUAGCGUGCAGGAUGACGGCCCUAUGGGUUGUAAACUGCUUUUAUAUGAGGAUAAAGUUCGUUACGUGUAACGUUUUGCAGGUAUCAUAUGAAUAAGGACCGGCUAAUUCCGUGCCAGCAGCCGCGGUAAUACGGAAGGUCCGGGCGUUAUCCGGAUUUAUUGGGUUUAAAGGGAGCGCAGACGGUCAGUUAAGCGUGCAGUUAAAUGAUGUGGCUCAACCAUGUUAUGCUGCGCGAACUGGCUGACUUGAGUUCACGGAACGUGGGCGGAAUUUGUGGUGUAGCGGUGAAAUGCUUAGAUAUCACGAAGAACUCCGAUUGCGAAGGCAGCCCGCGGCAGUGUUACUGACGUUCAUGCUCGAAGGUGCGGGUAUCGAACAGGAUUAGAUACCCUGGUAGUCCGCACGGUAAACGAUGGAUGCUCGCUGUCGGCGAUACAUUGUCGGCGG